ACCAGUGUAGCAAAAUUGGAAUAUGCCUCGGGGCGGCCACGGGUACGACCCCGUGAAGUGUAGGUUCGAGUCCUAUCGCUGGUA
RNAcentral lists this transfer RNA (84 nucleotides) under Blautia hominis. RNAcentral describes it as "tRNA-Arg". It matches the Rfam family "tRNA". From Rfam's summary of the family: Transfer RNA (tRNA) molecules are approximately 80 nucleotides in length. Their secondary structure includes four short double-helical elements and three loops (D, anti-codon, and T loops). Further hydrogen bonds mediate the characteristic L-shaped molecular structure. tRNAs have two regions of fundamental functional importance: the anti-codon, which is responsible for specific mRNA codon recognition, and the 3' end, to which the tRNAs corresponding amino acid is attached (by aminoacyl-tRNA synthetases). tRNAs cope with the degeneracy of the genetic code in two manners: having more than one tRNA (with a specific anti-codon) for a particular amino acid; and 'wobble' base-pairing, i.e. permitting non-standard base-pairing at the 3rd anti-codon position. Lineage: Bacteria; Bacillati; Bacillota; Clostridia; Lachnospirales; Lachnospiraceae. RNAcentral also lists the same sequence under 1 other name. The record is from RNAcentral.